AGGCUGUAAUGGCUUUCUGGUGGGAUGGGAUACGUUGAGAAUUCUGGCCGAGGAACAAAUCCUUCCUCGCGGCUAGACACGGAUUGCACGCCCUUUGGGCAAGGGAUAGUUCUCUAUUCCGCACCGUGCCCUGUUGUGGCAACCGUCUUUCCUCCGUCGUAAAUUUGUCCUGGGCAGAGCUGUCUGCCCGGAGGCGGGAGAGUCCGUUCUGAAGUGUCCCGGCUAUAAUAAAUCGAUCUUUGCGGGCAGCCCGUUGGCAGGAGGCGUGAGGAAUCCGUCUCUCUGUCUGGUGCGGCAAGGUAGUUCUGGGUCCUUAGGGGCUCCACCUUCACCGCUGUUAGGGGAGUUUUAUCCAGCGUCAGCAAAGGUGACCCGUGAUGGAGGCGGCCGGGAUAGCACAUAUCAGUCGGAUAAUUGUGCAAGUUGAUC
RNAcentral lists this signal recognition particle RNA (429 nucleotides) under Saccharomyces cerevisiae (brewer's yeast). Its description in RNAcentral is "Fungal signal recognition particle RNA". It matches the Rfam family "Fungal signal recognition particle RNA". The record is from Rfam by way of RNAcentral. Lineage: Eukaryota; Fungi; Ascomycota; Saccharomycetes; Saccharomycetales; Saccharomycetaceae.